RNAcentral lists this ribosomal RNA (148 nucleotides) under Tolypocladium sp. 20102506X. RNAcentral's name for it is "partial 18S ribosomal RNA". It matches the Rfam family "Eukaryotic small subunit ribosomal RNA", at positions 1685 to 1831 of the family's 1831-position model. The record is from RNAcentral. Lineage: Eukaryota; Fungi; Ascomycota; Sordariomycetes; Hypocreales; Ophiocordycipitaceae.
CCAAAUGCAUGCUCAGUGAGGCGUCCGGACUGGCCCAGAGAGGUGGGCAACUACCACUCAGGGCCGGAAAGCUCUCCAAACUCGGUCAUUUAGAGGAAGUAAAAGUCGUAACAAGGUCUCCGUUGGUGAACCAGCGGAGGGAUCAUUA